UAGGGAAUCUUCGGCAAUGGACGAAAGUCUGACCGAGCAACGCCGCGUGAGUGAAGAAGGUUUUCGGAUCGUAAAACUCUGUUGUUAGAGAAGAACAAGGACGUUAGUAACUGAACGUCCCCUGACGGUAUCUAACCAGAAAGCCACGGCUAACUACGUGCCAGCAGCCGCGGUAAUACGUAGGUGGCAAGCGUUGUCCGGAUUUAUUGGGCGUAAAGCGAGCGCAGGCGGUUUCUUAAGUCUGAUGUGAAAGCCCCCGGCUCAACCGGGGAGGGUUAUUGGAAACUGGGAGACUUGAGUGCAGAAGAGAAGAGUGGAAUUCCAUGUGUAGCGAUGAAAUGCGUAGAUAUAUGGAGGAACACCAGUAGCGAAGGCGGCUCUCUGGUCUGUAACUGACGCUGAGGCUCGAAAGCGUGGGGAGCAAACAGG
RNAcentral lists this ribosomal RNA (429 nucleotides) under Gemmatimonadota bacterium. RNAcentral's name for it is "Gemmatimonadetes bacterium partial 16S ribosomal RNA". It matches the Rfam family "Bacterial small subunit ribosomal RNA", at positions 355 to 776 of the family's 1533-position model. Lineage: Bacteria; Pseudomonadati; Gemmatimonadota. The record is from RNAcentral.